RNAcentral lists this ribosomal RNA (386 nucleotides) under uncultured bacterium. Its description in RNAcentral is "partial 16S ribosomal RNA". It matches the Rfam family "Bacterial small subunit ribosomal RNA", at positions 354 to 755 of the family's 1533-position model. The record is from RNAcentral.
UGGGGGAAUAUUGGACAAUGGGGGCAACCCCUGAUCCAGCCAUGCCGCGUGAGUGAUGAAGGCCUUCGGGUUGUAAAGCUCUUUUGGCGGGGACGAUGAUGACGGUACCCCGCAGAAUAAGCCCCGGCUAACUUCGUGCCAGCAGCCACGGUAAGACGAAGGGGGCUAGCGUUGUUCGGAAUUACUGGGCGUAAAGCGAGUGUAGGUGGUUUUCCAAGUUGGAUGUGAAAGCCUUGAGCUCAACUCAAGAAAUGCAUUCAGGACUGGGAGACUAGAGGACCGGAGAGGAUAGUGGAAUUCCCAGUGUAGUGGUGAAAUACGUAGAGAUUGGGAAGAACACCAGUGGCGAAGGCGGCUAUCUGGACGGUUUCUGACACUAAGACUCG